Molecule: non-coding RNA, 24 nt
Filed under: Arabidopsis thaliana (thale cress)
Lineage: Eukaryota; Viridiplantae; Streptophyta; Magnoliopsida; Brassicales; Brassicaceae
Also listed under: 1 other name
Source: RNAcentral
GUGCGCUGGAUUAUGACUGAACGC